ACUUCUUUUCAUCAUAAAAAAAUUAACUUCUUCCAUGCAUUAAAUUUUACUUGCUUAUAGAAAAAAAAAGGAAAAUAAUAUUAAUAAUCAUUAAUGAUACAUUAAUAAUAUUAAUAAUCAUUAAUGAUACAUUAAUAAUUAUUAAUAUUAUUUUUCUUUUCUCUUUUUUUUUCUAUAAGCAAGUAGAAUUUAAUGCAUGGAAGAAGUUAAUUUUUUUAUGACGGAAGAAGU
This 231-nucleotide microRNA precursor is filed under the name Glycine max (soybean). RNAcentral describes it as "miR9759 stem-loop (gma-MIR9759)". The record is from miRBase by way of RNAcentral. Lineage: Eukaryota; Viridiplantae; Streptophyta; Magnoliopsida; Fabales; Fabaceae.